RNAcentral lists this long non-coding RNA (3947 nucleotides) under Salmo salar (Atlantic salmon). Its description in RNAcentral is "lncRNA (ENSSSAG00000096714.1)". Lineage: Eukaryota; Metazoa; Chordata; Actinopteri; Salmoniformes; Salmonidae. The record is from RNAcentral.
GCAAGUAUGAAAAAGCCCUUCACAGUUUGUUUCCCUAAAGCAAGUAAUGAUGAUGAUGAUGAUGUGGAUAACCCCAGCCUAUGGGAAGAAUUUGGUGAAGAGUACAAUGCUGAUGUUGAAGCUAUCCAAACCAACUGCAGGCAACAGAUCUUACAGUGCUUUGUCCCGUUCAUUACUACUGGUGAUUAGAGAUGGACUAAAGGAAACAAAAAUUAUACACAGUAUGAUGGCUAAGGUAACUAAACUUUGCAGCUUAAUACAUAUUACCUGUGGUCUGAAAGAAGCAUUUGAAGCUGAGUUCGGAGUCAAUAGUAGUGUCCCUGCUGCUGUGUCUACCAGAUGGAAUUCUAUCCUCCGGCAUGUUAAAGCAGUCACCAAUCUGAAUCAACAAAGCCUCAAUACUCUAGUUGAGGCCCAAGGACACAAGGAGCUCUGCUUAUCACCAAGGGAAUGGAGCCAGCUAUUGGACGCUUUUGUCCAGGCCACCAACCUUACUCAGGGGGAGAAUGUGCUGACUCUCAGUGCUGCCUUUCCUUGUGUACUGUCACUCAACUAUCAUCUGCAAAGUAUACUGAGCACAAGUCGUCACCUAGUCAGUCUAGUAAAAGCAUUGCAGCAGUCACUCAAACGCUGAUUCCAGGGGGUGUUUGUGAAUGUCAGAAUGGAGCACUUGGAUUACCAGGCAACAAAACCUCCAUUUGGUGACAAUGUAUACAUAAUGGCUGCACAGCUGGACCCAUCUUUCUGCCUGUUCUGGCUUGAUCAUGAUGUCCUCAUACCACAUGAAGAUAAAGCUGAAUUGAAGAAGUCUGAUUGCCGUUACAGAACCACCCACCACCAACGGACCAAGCAGCGUGGACGGGAGCAGCACCAGGAGUAGAUCAAGCAGCGUGCUCGGGAGGUGAUGGCAUCCUGGUCGCUGGAGGAAUUGGAGGGAAGAAUAGACUGGACUUGGGAAGAGCUAUUGGACCAUUGCAACAGCCUGCCGGGGAAGCAGGUGGAGGUGAAGAGGCAGCCCCAAAAAAAUGAUGGGGGGGGGCACACGGGGAGAUUGGUGGAGUCAGGCAUUAGACCUGAGCCAACUCCCCGUGCUUACCGGGAGCGGCGUGUUACUGGUCAGGCACCGUGUUAUGCGAUAGAGCACACGGUGUCUUCAGUGCACGCUCAUAGCCUGGUGCGCUACAUUCCAGCCCCCCGCAAGUGCCGUGCUAGAGUGGGCAUCCAGCCAGGUAGGAGUAUGCCUGCUCAGCACAUCUGGCCACCAGUGCGUCUCCUAGGCCCAGGCUACCCUGCGCCUGCUCUACGCACGGCAGCCAUCAUGCCUCAGCACAGCCCAGUUCGCCCUGUGCCAGCACUCUGCCUGUGCAGGGCUACAGUUACAACCCAGCCAGGAUGGGUUGUGCAGGCUGUGCGCUCCAGACCUCCAGUACAUCCUCAAGACCCAGUCUAUCCUGUGCCUGCUCCCAGAGCCAGGCCUCCUGCAUGUCUCCCCAGUCUGGUCAGUCCUGUGCCUGCUCCCAGAGCCAGGCCUCCUGCAUGUCUCCCCAUCCUGGUGAGUCCUGUGCCUGCUCCCAGAGCCAGGCCUCCUGCAUGUCUCCCCAGCCUGGUGGGUCCUGUGCCUGCUCCCAGAGCCGGGCCUCCUGCAUGUCUCCCCAGCCUGGUGAGUCCUGUGCCUGCACCCAGAGCCAGGCCUACUGCUAGUCCCGCCAGUCCGGAGCCGCCAGAGCCGCCAGAGCCGCCCGCCUGUCCGACGCAGCCAGAGCCGCCCGCCUGUCCUGCGCAGCCAGAGCCGCCCGCCUGUCCGGCGCAGCCAGAGUCGCCCGCCUGUCCGGCGCAGCCAGAGUCGCCCGCCUGUCCGGCGCAGCCAGAGUCGCCCGCCUGUCCGGCGCAGCCAGAGUCGCCCGCCUGUCCGGCGGCGAGGGACCCCGCUCUAGAGGCGCCACCUAAGUGGGGUAGGCCAGUGGUGGAGCGGGGUCAGCAUCCCUCUCCUGAGCCACCUCCGUAGGGGGGAGGAUUGGGAAGGGGGUGUAGCACAAGAACCGUCAUUGACGGUGGCCACCCUCCCUUCCCUCCCUUUAGUUUGGGGUUAUUGUUUUGUGAGUUUUUGUUUCAGGUGCAUUCGCAGUCUGCACCUUUGGGGGUGGGGGGGGGGGGUACUGUCACAUCCUGACCAGUAAAGGGGGUUAUUUGUUGUUGUAGUUUGGUCAGGGCGUGGCAGGGGGUGUUUUGGGGUUUUAUUCUAUGUCCUUUUUUCUAUGUUUUGUAUUUCUUUGUUUUGGCCUGGUAUGGCUCUCAAUCAGGGACAGCUGUACUUCGUUGUCGCUUAUUGGGAGCCAUACUGAGGUAGCCUGUUUUCCUUUGGGUUUUGUGGGUGGUUAAUUUCUGUUUAGUAUUGUUACCUGACAGAACUGUUUUGGCUGUCAUUCGUUUCUUGUUUUGUUUAAAGUGUUCCAUUAAAAUAUUAUGAUGAGCACUAACCACGCUGCGCCUUGGUCUACUCCAAUCAACAGCCGUUACAUCUCAACAAAUCAUCUGAGGGUGAUUCGUCAACCAACCAUCAUUAUCGUAGAGCACUCAAUUGAUUCACUUUAUAUGUGUGUGCUGUAUUGACCUGCUCCCUUAUUAAUAAGUGGGCCACUAUGCACGGAACGGGUUCUACAUGGAACCAAAAAGGGUUCUCCUAUGGGGAGCAUGAAGAAUCCUUUUAGGUUGUAUCUCAACAAUGUUCUAAAUCCUAUUUGUUUUAUUUUCUAUGAACAAAGGCUCAGCUUAGUUCAGGUGGUUAUAGUAAAUGUUGGAUGUCUUGAUAAAAUGUGUUAGUGUUAAUAUUUGUAUGAAAAUAGCAUUUAACAGUUCGCUAGCUUGAUGCUUUGCAAAGUUAGAUCUCUUUUCACACAACAGCAGCAUCCAGGCCUCCAGAGUACUCACCCUAUCACCUUCUGUAGGGACGGGAGCCGCAGCUGUUUACUGAGGUGAGCCUGAACAUGGACAAGGUUCAGGAGAAACAUAAGGAAAACCACCAGAGGAGAAUCAAGAAGGGGACCAAGUGCUUCGACAUCCGGUCAAAUUACUUGGCUUGGAAGAAGGAUGAAAGGAAGUCGAGACCUUGCUGCUCUUUCGCUCCUAGCUGGGGCCACGAUCCGUUCAGGGACCAUCCCUCACCUCCCUCAUCAACCCCACUGACAUAAAAAAAAUACAGACAGGACCUAGGGGUACUGCCUAACACCCAGAUGUGGAUCUACCUGAUGUCCUCCAUUACCAACCACCCUCCAACUUUUCAUUACAUCAUCUACAGCUACUGUUACUGUCAUGUUGUCAUUAUCUGCUAAGAAAGAGCAAGAAAACUAUCAUACUGGGAACAUAAUGUGAGAUACAAUGAUUAUCUAAAAACACUAGCACUCAGAACAAAGAGAGCAGCAGUGCAUGGACUUCAGUCUCCCUCUUCCAGUCCCCCUUCCGAGACUGACUGUUUGUUGAGAACAGUGACAGACAGAACCUCCCAACCACAUAGCACCCACCUCCUCUCUAUUCCACACACCAGAAUUCAGUAUUUCAGUCUAUGAUUGCCAUGUGAGGACAAAAAAAGCUAAGUUUUAAAUAUAUAAUCGUAAAUAUUGCCAGGUUGGUUUUCAUAGCUUGUUCAUUGUUGAAAAUAUUAAUGUAUCCCUUGAUGAUAUUUGUUAGGUCAACAUUAUUCAUUGUUGUAUCAUAGGACCUAUAAUAGAUAAACAUUCAACCACAAUGAGCUAUAUAAACUCAGCAAAAAAAUAAACGUCCUCUCACUCUCAACUGCGUUUAUUUUCAGCAAACUUAACGUGUAAAUAUUUGUAUGAACAUAACAAGAUUCAACAACUGAGACAUAAACUGAACAAGUUCCACAGACAUGUGACUAAUAGAACUGGAACAAUGUGUCCCUGAACAAAGGGGGGUUCAAAAUCAAAAGUAAC